UUGUUUUUUCCAAUGAAAUUUAAAAUUUUUACAGUCAAACCUAUCAGUAUUUUUUAUUGUUAUUUCUUUAGAAAUUUUACUCAGAAAGUCCUCCCUAUCCUAAGAUAAUAUAUAUUUAAAUUUGCUUCAUGUUGAUUUAUGAUUUUUUAAAAAUGCUUAGUUUGUUUUUUCUUCUGAAUUAAUUUUAGGAGUAUGGUGUAAUGGAAGGCGCUGACAAGACUUCUUCCAAUCAUUUCAUCUCCAUAUCAUAUAAAAAGAACAGGGAAAGAUGACACAUCAACACGGCUGCAGAGCACAAGUACCUUGACCUGUAAAGACAUCUGCAAAUAUUCUGAUCGCUUUAUAAACUAUCUUAAAACCCUGGCACACACUGAGUUACACCAAACUCAGGGAAUGUGUUUCAAAUGGGAUAUAGUGCUACAGACAAGCUA
Molecule: long non-coding RNA, 431 nt
Filed under: Bos grunniens (domestic yak)
Lineage: Eukaryota; Metazoa; Chordata; Mammalia; Artiodactyla; Bovidae
Description: lncRNA (ENSBGRG00000002617.1)
Source: RNAcentral